This 165-nucleotide ribosomal RNA is filed under the name Allium crispum. RNAcentral's name for it is "5.8S ribosomal RNA". The stretch from base 34 to 165 matches the Rfam family "5.8S ribosomal RNA", at positions 1 to 130 of the family's 154-position model. From Rfam's summary of the family: 5.8S ribosomal RNA (5.8S rRNA) is a component of the large subunit of the eukaryotic ribosome. It is transcribed by RNA polymerase I as part of the 45S precursor that also contains 18S and 28S rRNA. The record is from RNAcentral. Lineage: Eukaryota; Viridiplantae; Streptophyta; Magnoliopsida; Asparagales; Amaryllidaceae.
GCGUUUUCCCAAUAGUAGUGUGACGGUAUGCAUGACUCUUGGCAACGGAUAUCUAGGCUCUCGCGUCGAUGAAGAACGUAGCGAAAUGCGAUACUUGGUGUGAAUUGCAGAAUCCCGUGAACCAUCGAGUCUUUGAACGCAAGUUGCGCCCGAGACCGUCAGGUC